GGCUCAGGACGAACGCUGGCGGCGUGCUUCAUACAUGCAAGUCGAACGGGGGCAUCAGCAGUGGCAACACUGUUGGUGUUCUAGUGGCGAACGGGUGAGUAACACGUGAGGAACUUGCCCCGGACUCUGGGAUAACAGGUGGAAACACCUGCUAAUACUGGAUGCCAUCGGUGGAUCGCAUGGUCUACCGAUGAAAGAACUUCGGUCCGGGAUGGCCUCGCGGCCUAUCAGCUAGUUGGUGGGGUAACGGCCUACCAAGGCAUCGACGGGUAGCUGGUCUGAGAGGAUGAUCAGCCACACUGGGACUGAGACACGGCCCAGACUCCUACGGGAGGCAGCAGUAGGGAAUCUUGCGCAAUGGGCGAAAGCCUGACGCAGCAACGCCGCGUGCGGGAAGAAGGCCUUCGGGUUGUAAACCGCUUUUGGCAGGAACGAUUGUGACGGUACCUGCAGAAGAAGGUGCGGCCAACUACGUGCCAGCAGCCGCGGUGACACGUAGGCACCAAGCGUUGUCCGGAUCUAUUGGGCGUAAAGAGCUCGUAGGCGGUUCAGUAAGUCGGGUGUGAAAACUCUGGGCUUAACCCAGAGACGCCACCCGAUACUGUUGAACUUGAGUUCGGUAGGGGAGUGGGGAAUUCCUGGUGUAGCGGUGAAAUGCGCAGAUAUCAGGAGGAACACCGGUGGCGAAGGCGCCACUCUGGGCCGAAACUGACGCUGAGGAGCGAAAGCGUGGGUAGCAAACAGGAUUAGAUACCCUGGUAGUCCACGCCGUAAACGUUGGGCACUAGGUGUGGGCUCCAACCAACGGAGUCCGUGCCGUCGCUAACGCAUUAAGUGCCCCGCCUGGGGAGUACGGCCGCAAGGCUUAAACUC
RNAcentral lists this ribosomal RNA (873 nucleotides) under uncultured bacterium. Its description in RNAcentral is "bacterial SSU rRNA". It matches the Rfam family "Bacterial small subunit ribosomal RNA", at positions 21 to 902 of the family's 1533-position model. The record is from RNAcentral.